RNAcentral lists this small RNA (107 nucleotides) under Marmota monax (woodchuck). Lineage: Eukaryota; Metazoa; Chordata; Mammalia; Rodentia; Sciuridae. The record is from RNAcentral.
GCAGGGCAUGGUGCUGCAUGCCUGUAAUCCCAGCAGCUUGGGAGGCUGAGGCAGGAGGAUCACAAGUUCAAAGCUAGCCUCAGCAACUUAGUGAGACCUUGUCUCUA